Balaenoptera ricei (Rice's whale) is the source of this 2525-nucleotide long non-coding RNA. RefSeq lists it as uncharacterized. Lineage: Eukaryota; Metazoa; Chordata; Mammalia; Artiodactyla; Balaenopteridae. The transcript is spliced from 2 exons. The record is from RefSeq and is a predicted model, not a curated record.
GUUUAAGAAAACACGGGGCGGCGGCGGGGGGGGGGGGGACUUCCCUGGUGGUGCAGUGGUUAAGAAUCCGCCUGCCAAUGCAGGGGACACAGGUUCGAGCCCUGGUGCAGGAAGACCCCACAUGCCACGGAGCAGCUAAGCCUGUGCGCCACAACUACUGAGCCUGUGCUCUAGAGCCUGCGAGCCACAACUAGUGAGCCCAUGAGCCCACGUGCCACAACUACUGAAGCCCGUGCGCCUAGAGACCGUGGCUCUGCAGAAAGAGAAGCCACCGCAGUGAGAAGCCCGCACAUUGCAACAAAGAGCAGCCCCCGCUCGCCACAACUAGAGAAAGCCCACGCAGCAACGAAGACCCAACGCAGCCAAAAAUUAAUUAAUUAAUUAAUUAUUUUAAAAAAAGAAAACAUGGGAAUUUCCUGGUCGUCCAGUGGUUAGGACUCGGGGCUUUCACUGCCAGGGCCUGGGGGUCAAUCCCUGGUCAGGGAACUAAGAUCCCGCAAGCUGCAUGGCACGGCCAAAAGAAAAAAAAAGAAAAAGAGAAAAACACCCCCAGGUGCACCCAGUGCGGCUGAGGUUAACAGCACCCGAUUCUACCAGGCUCCAGAUUGGAAUUUCCAACACCUGCAGGACAGACAGCUCUGCCAGAUCUGCUCAUACCGAGAAUGCGGUGUGGCCGACUCUGAGCUCGUCACGUCCUCCCUCGGGCCAGCUGCUCCUCUCCGCAGGCCAGAAUCACCUGUCAUUCGCCAAGCCCUGAGCGUCUUCCCUCCUGGGCUCACUGGCCCCCUCCUCAGGGCCUAGCACCGCCCCCCCCCAAACCUGGUCCCCCUGUCGCUAAUGAAGACUUUAGGCCAGGCCAGCAAACCAUACACCUUCAAGGGCCAAGUGAGCUUGGAGACAGGAAGAUGUGGGGACUGGAGCAAGAUAAAGACAGACCCACACAUGUCCUGUCUUGGGAAAGUGGCCUCAAUUCAACUUCAGCCAACUGUUGCUACAUAGGACUCUAGACCCAGAUCUAGCAAUUUUCCAAGUAAUGCUAGAAAUCUGGUGUUUUAUGUGAAAUCUCUUCUUUGUUAGAUUUAGGGACCUUAAUUUUAAAAUAUUUUCGAAAACUACCAAUGGGCUUCCAGUUUUCAAUCUUUGCCACAGAAUAACCUUCUAGAAGAACUAGCUUACUUCUGCAGCUGUCCUCUGCUCAGAGGAAAGAGUUGACAACUUUAUGGCCAGUUCCAAGGCCCUGGCCCACAGCAAGUCUACAGGUGAAAUAUGUACCUACUGACAAAAGACUUUCCCCACAUUUGUUAACCCUUGGAGUAAUUCACUGAGUCUGGCUGCAGCAUACUAGCGGCACAGAAACACAAACAACCAAGAAACCAAGUUUCAGGCCCAUCCCUCCUUGCCCCACCCCAUCCUACCCAGGGUACCCCCACUCUAAGUAAACCUCGUCUUCUCCUGCCCUUCCCCCUCCCUCUUACCAGUUCCACACACCAGCCCACGGUCAGGGCCCGCCGGAGACUAUCAGCAUCCUGCUUCCUGGGCUCCACCAGCUCCCGGAACGCUACCAGCACUGUCAAACCCCGAUGGUACUUGCCUCCGAUGGCAUUGUACUCCAGGACCUGGGGGCAAGGGCAGAGGGACAAGGCAUCAGGGUCUACAGAGCAGCUAUUCUGAGAGUUCUCCUUGCCCCUUCCCACUUCCAACCACGAGGCCUAACUUUAUCCUCCUCAACCCCUUCAGGCAGCCUCUGGAAUUGCUUUUCUCUCGGCUUCUUCCCAAAUCCUGGAGCACAGCUAGAAGUUCUCCAGUCCCCAGGCUCUCUCUGCAUUGUCUUCUUCAGUACACUUAAAGGCUCCAUACUGGAGAUUAAAAUCUGCUCCCAAACCCAGGACAGGGCUUGAAAUGAGCGAAAACUCUGUACGUGCUACUGAUAGGGACAGAGUAAAAGGACAAAGUAGGUGAUUAAAUAAUUAAUCCCACUAGAGGACUGUAAGUAAAGAAAAAAAGUAUGGGAGACCCCUGUAAGUUAAUGAUCACCGAAGAAAGCAGGUUUGCUUAACCACAAAACCAAGCAGACCUGCUCAGCAACGGAAGCAUGAGACAUGCCCCAAAACAAUAAAACAACAGUGGCAUGAGACCCACAUCCUGCCCAGUGAGUUCAGUCAGUUAAUGACCCCUAGAACAUGCUCUCUGCACACACAAAAAACAAUUUAUGGAAAGGCGACAUUUCAAUGUAAAAGACCCUCAUUGUACUGAGACCUGAAAUAAUUGUUCCAUAGUGCCACGACAGUCCUGGCUUAAACAUGUAGGGACAAGAAAACUCCCCUGCCCAACGCGGAGGAGGAGGUGAUGAUGAAAGCGUGACGUCUACUCAAGAAUGAGGAAGAAGGCGGUCUUGUCCUCCUCCCCGCUUUUCCUUUGAUUAUAAAACUGUAGCCCAUGAAGUUCUUGGGGUGCGGCACCCUCUCACCCACCGGCUUGUAAGCCUCACAAGCGUUCUAUUCUAAUAAAUCACUUCUUUUCUAUCA